AUGCACAUGCGCAGAAGCAGCGAAUCGCAACCUGUGUGUGCACAGACAUGGGUUGCGUUCCUUUCAGGUUGCGAACGGGGCUCCGGAACGGAUCCUGUUCACAAUCAGAGGUACCACUGUAAUCUAAAAAAGUAAUCCCUAGCCUCAGUAGAAAUGAAUCAGACCAGGUCAUCAUUGUUCCCCACCCUCAAUACCUAGGCAGGAUUUCUUGCUCGAUCUAUGCUCCAUAUACAUUCACAUUUUUCACAUGACAUAGUUGGUAUCAAAAUGCAAGCCCAAAUCCCCACCACCACCAUUUAAUUCAGAUUUACCCUUUCUGAGGAAAAUCUGGUAAGUAUUUUUAUUUUAUUUUUUUACUGUUCCCAACAUCCAAUAUCCAAAUGACCCAUUCACAAUAUUAAGCUCCAACUGGAAGCAUCCUAAAAACUAAGGUCAUAAAAAGUGCGUCAGGCAUUUAAAACAUUUAAAUAUAGGUAUAAACAGCAGUGACUGAGUUCUGGAGAGAUACUGCCAUUCAAAUUAGUGCAGAAACAGAAGGAAAAGUUAACCACACUUGUCUUCUGCAUGGGUGGUCUUCUUUCAUUUUCAGUACCUUACGCAAAGCUAACAUUCAUUAGGUUGUGUGAUUUCUUGUCUUUUUCAAUCAGCUGCUUCCUGCCGUAAACAUCAGAAGUCUCACAGUGUACACUGUGUUUCAGUCUCUCUGCAUUUUAAGAACAUACUUUUUUCCAUGAGCUAAACAAACAGUUGAACCUUAGAAUGAAAACAUCUGCACUUGCCUACUGGAGGAACAUUUUAAAGCAGAACAUACCCACAAGGCCAAAUGCUUAUCAUUGUUAUUCCAGAGUAUGAACUGGUACAAAUACAAUUCUCCAGAUAUGAACAUACAUAUAUUUAUGAAAUUAUCAGUACGUUCUUUUUUAUUUAAAACAACUGUGGCAAAAGGUCAAAAGCAAUGCUUGGGGAAUCCCAAAUACAUAAACCCCAGAGUUCGGAACUGCAAUUUAAAUGUACUGAACUUAAUUUAUCUGAAUUUUUAAAAAUCAUUUCUUGCUUCUCAAAUCUCUGUCCAUAAUAGAUUGGACAUUUCAUGGAUUUCCCUCCACACUAGCCUUUUCAAGGCACAAGAAUAGUAUUUACAAUUCAAAAGAAUAGCAGGAAAUGUCUAAUAGACUUAGCACUUGGUCCCUAGGAAACAAAACAAAAAAAUAUGCUAAUCUGAAGGCUACUCUACUGCUCCCUAAAUAAGCCAGCUUUAGCUUGUCCAUAUGCGUUAUGAGCAGAUUAAGUGCAGACAUUUUUAAAAGCAAGAGAUCAAUAUUAAUAAUCAACUUUAUAAGUGUGUGCAAAUAAUAUCCUAGUGUUGGUUCAACACUGCAUAAUAACAAAGCAAGAAUAAUUGUGCUUUUGAGUUUACGCUAAAAAAAUACUUUGCAACAACAUUAUGAAGAUUAAUAGUUGUCAGUCAUUAUAAUCCUAUUCUAGGGUUUUUUUAAAAAAAAUCCUCUGGUUUAAGAGAACACUUAAGGCAAUUACAAACCUACUCAUGUACCAAAAAAGCAUGGAAAUUGUAAGUUAAGGCACUUGCUUUAACUUCUCCACCAUGUCAACACUAAACACAUUUCAGUCUCCUAUAUUUGCUUGCCUAGAACUUAACUUCCAUACACUCAUACUUCCCUGGUCUUUCACCCUCAUUUCUCUUCCAGUGCUGGAGGAAAACUAAAGCACACUGCUUUUCCUAUAUGGUUUCAUUGAGAGAUAAUGGAAUAACAGACCCUCCAAGUGUCCCAAUUUUCCAGGGACAUUCCUGAUUUAGAGAAGCUGUCCUGGUUUCUGAUUUGAUCCUGGAAUGUCCCACUUUUCCUUAGAAUGUCCCUAUUUUCAUUGGAGAAAUGUUGGAGGGUAUGGAGUUAUCUGCCCCACCCCCAGCUGUCUGAAGGCAAUCAUGUAUAGGGAAGUUCUUUUAAAAUGUUUAAUGUUUUAUGAUGUUUUUAUAUAUGUUAGAAGCUGCCCAGAGUGGCUGGGGCAACCAAGUAAGAUGUGUGGGGUAUAAAUAGUAAAAUUAUCAUUAUGGAAUGGGAUGUCCCUAUUUCCAUCAGAGAAAUGUUGGAGGGUAUGGAAUAAAUAAAUAGUUCUAACUAUGUACAAUUUAGGGAGAGUAGAGAAGGAAUACAAGGCUGGAGACCAACAGGCAAGCGUCUUUCAUCAUAAAAUGGCACACACAACACUUUUGAGAAGUCCACCAUUUCUGAAUAAAAUGUAAAGGACUCUCCUUUGCAAAAAUUGGCUUCAUUUAAAAUAAGUUAGAAUUGUCUAACGCUCUGACAAUGCUUGGGAUAAAUUGCUUGUUUUACUCUUGGUUAAAAUAUGUACAAGAAUGCACUCUGCAGCUUAAGAAAGGCUAUGCAAGUGGCUGGCAGUCAUAAUUAUGCGUUUAGAAUGUAAACACAUAUAUCUCAUUAAAUUUUGACAUACUAAAGACUCCAGCUUCGGUGCUGUGGUUGAGCCCAACCUACAAUAGAAGGCAAGUAAAGAAAAGCAUGGGUAUAGAAGCCUACAUAAGACUGCAAAACAUACCAUUUACAUGGUGUUAAGGCAGGUGCCAUCACCUACAAUAUCCACAAUUUGGGGGAAUGAGAAAACUUGUAAAUGCCUCAACCCUUUGUAUCCAUGUUCGUGUGUGUGUGUGUGUGUGUGUGUGUGUGUGUGUGUGUGUUAUACUGCACAAUAUUUCAAUAUAAAUGAUCAAAAUACAUAUUUCCAAGUGAUUUUUUUUUUAAAUAACAAUUCCAAUAAUUUAAAAAUAGAACAAACCCAUUUCCCCUGUAGAAUAUAGUCAGGGGUGGAGGAAGGAGGUGCGGUGGGUGCAAGCUGCCCCGGGUGUCACCAUUGAGGGGGGUGACAAAAUGCCGGGCGGCAAUCACCACAGGGCUUGCAGCGCACCCGAGCCAUGCAUCUCUCCUGGGAGAGACAUGGUGGCUUGGACACACACAGGCUCCGUACUGCCCAAACGGUCCACCUACUGCCUCUCCCCCAGCUGUAGGGCGGCUGAGUGGAAGGAGGCAGGCAGACUCCAGAGGCCCCGUGGUGUGCCCUGCCGUUAUGGGCAGCUCGCCCCACCGCUGGGCGCGUCACCCCAGGUGCCCAAGCUACUUCUUCCGGCGCUGAAUAGUCACAAUUUUUCCUUUAAACCAACUUCCACAAUGUCAGAUAUCUUUCUUUCAAUCUAAGAGGAGACCAAGCAUGCGUCACUUUUUGUUAGAAUGAACUGGAUGUUUUUGGAUACAGAAAUAAUUAUCUGCAGAGUAAUAGGCCUAGCAGAAGAAAAUGCAGCUUCCAAACUUGAAAAGUACCCAUGCAUCAAUAGUUCCGUUGGUAGAGCAUGAGACUCUUAACCUCAGGGUCGUGGGUUUGAGCCCCAUGUUGGGCCAAAGGUUCUGGCAUUGCGAAAACUAUUUGUAGCAUUAACAAUCAAAAUUACAACAACAAAAACUUUCCCCAACCCAAAAGAAUAAAAACAUUGUAAGAACUGUUAAAAGGAUCCAAAAUUAUCCUAUGAACAGAACAUUCUAUCCCUUUAUGCUGUCUUUGACUUCUAAAUAUUGGCUGUGGGACAUGAACAUUUUCUUUUAUCAACAAAACCCAAACUGACCGAUAGUUACUUCUUGUUUGUGGAGCUCUCAUCUGAAAGCCCCAUGCUGUGUCAGGAAAAUUUUGUGCACACAAUAGUCUUCUAAAUGUUUCCUGGUGAUAUUUAAACAGGUUCCCACACCUCUGCACUAAAAGACUAAGGUCAUCUCAGAAACAAAGCAGAUGCUAAUGUUUCCAUCUUUACAAUCAGUGAAAGUGUAAAAAGUCAAACAUAUGUUUUAGUAAGUAUGCUCAAAGCUUGCAUCAUGUAGAAAUCCUCGAUACCACCCCAUUUUGAUUUUUUACAAAAUAUUUAUAUCCGACUUUGCCACUAUUAUUAUUUAGAACACCUUUAUAACAUUUAUAAAGAUAGCAGAAACAACAUCAAGCAACAAUUAACAACCCUGCCAUAAGCACUGAAAGCAGCAGCAAAUAGAACUGUUAGCAGAACUUAUCAAAAGCCAGAGAAAAGGGAAUGCCCCAAAACCCAGCUGUCUGGUCAGUAGUCAUAC
This 4142-nucleotide transfer RNA is filed under the name Podarcis lilfordi (Lilford's wall lizard). The stretch from base 3358 to 3431 matches the Rfam family "tRNA". The record is from RNAcentral. Lineage: Eukaryota; Metazoa; Chordata; Lepidosauria; Squamata; Lacertidae.